UACGGGGGGAGCAAGCGUUGUUCGGAUUUACUGGGCGUAAAGGGCGCGUAGGCGGUCAGCACAAGUCAGUUGUGAAAUCUCCGGGCUUAACUCGGAAAGGUCAACUGAUACUGUGCGACUAGAGUGCAGAAGGGGCAACUGGAAUUCUCGGUGUAGCGGUGAAAUGCGUAGAUAUCCGGAGGAACACCGGUGGCGAAGGCGGCACUCUGGGCCGGAACUGACGCUGAGGAGCGAAAGCGUGGGGAGCGAACAGG
This 254-nucleotide ribosomal RNA is filed under the name uncultured bacterium. Its description in RNAcentral is "partial 16S ribosomal RNA". It matches the Rfam family "Bacterial small subunit ribosomal RNA", at positions 524 to 776 of the family's 1533-position model. The record is from RNAcentral.